This 301-nucleotide ribosomal RNA is filed under the name uncultured bacterium. RNAcentral describes it as "partial 16S ribosomal RNA". It matches the Rfam family "Bacterial small subunit ribosomal RNA", at positions 509 to 809 of the family's 1533-position model. The record is from RNAcentral.
CAGUAGCCGCGGGAAUACAGAGGGUGCAAGCGUUAAUCGGAAUUACUGGGCGUAAAGCGCGCGUAGGUGGUUCGCCAAGUUGGAUGUGAAAUCCCCGGGCUCAACCUGGGAACUGCAUCCAAAACUGGCGAGCUAGAGUAUGGUAGAGGGUGGUGGAAUUUCCUGUGUAGCGGUGAAAUGCGUAGAUAUAGGAAGGAACAUCAGUGGCGAAGGCGACCACCUGGACUGAUACUGACACUGAGGUGCGAAAGCGUGGGGAGCAAACAGGAUUAGAUACCCGGGUAGUCCCUGUCUCUUAUAU